UACGUAGGGUGCGAGCGUUAAUCGGAAUUACUGGGCGUAAAGCGUGCGCAGGCGGCGCGUUAAGACAGGUGUGAAAGCCCCGAGCUUAACUUGGGAAUUGCGCUUGUGACUGGCGUGCUGGAGUGUGGCAGAGGGAGGUGGAAUUCCACGUGUAGCAGUGAAAUGCGUAGAGAUGUGGAGGAACACCGAUUGCGAAGGCAGCUUACUAAAGUGUGAUUGACGCUGAGGCACGAAAGCGUGGGGAUCAAACAGG
RNAcentral lists this ribosomal RNA (253 nucleotides) under uncultured prokaryote. RNAcentral describes it as "partial 16S ribosomal RNA". It matches the Rfam family "Bacterial small subunit ribosomal RNA", at positions 524 to 776 of the family's 1533-position model. The record is from RNAcentral.